RNAcentral lists this long non-coding RNA (538 nucleotides) under Homo sapiens (human). RNAcentral's name for it is "HSALNT0038976". The record is from RNAcentral. Lineage: Eukaryota; Metazoa; Chordata; Mammalia; Primates; Hominidae.
CACUGUCCUAACACUUGCUAGUUGUCACCAGAAGUGAAGCUAGCCAGGCCUCUUCUGCUCAGCCGGAAGGGAGCAAGUGUUUAUGGAGCACUGGCUGUGUGCUCAGCACCUUCCUGUGUAUUAUGUCAGUUACUCUUGCUGACCAGCCUGUGACUGAGGUGGCUGCAAUGAUACCUACCUCGCAGGACAGUCACCAGGAGCAAUGAACAUGAAGCCCCAGCUCCAGCCGUGCAUCUCAGGGGCUCAGCAAACACUGGCUCCUUGUCCUGAGGGAGUCAUGGUGGCAGCUGGGUGGGGGGCUGGGGCCACAGCAGGCAGGGCAACAUCUGUGGAUGAGGAGCUCUCACCCUCCACCCGAUCUCCAGCAGGUGCAUUCACCUGUGCUCUCCAACAGCCAUGCGUACCCAGACAGUGACAGGCGGUGUUUGGGAUGUAAAGUUGGUGCUGCCUCCAGGGAACUCACACACAGCCAUCUAUUCCCAUGGCGGUGGCUCCCACAGAGAGGCCCAGGGACACCAGGACCUGGUUUGUAGGCAUU